RNAcentral lists this long non-coding RNA (5474 nucleotides) under Homo sapiens (human). RNAcentral's name for it is "HSALNT0317927". The record is from RNAcentral. Lineage: Eukaryota; Metazoa; Chordata; Mammalia; Primates; Hominidae.
GAUCCGCCCGUCUCAGCCUCCGAAAGUGCUGGGAUUACAGGUGUGAGCCACCAUACCUGGCCAACCAUGCGUUUCUUAAAGAUAAGUGUUGUGGUUUGCUUUUGGGGAAAAGAGAAAAGGAUUUGUGGUUUUAGUUAGUAAAAUCAUUGAGAGGGAAGGAGACCCAAUUUAUGGAUUAUAGACAUUUGAAAAAAAAUUGUAAUUCCCUUUUCUGUUGUUGGGAUACCAGUUUUUGAUUUUAUUUGUUCAUUAAAUGGUCAGUUCCGUGGAGAUCUCUGGAGCUGAGAUGGCUUUUUAGAAUUGCCCAAUUGAGGCAAAGGGCCAGGGCUUUUUAACCACUGCAUUGGCCAGCCAUUGUCUGUGGGCUUCUCCCAGGGAAGGGCCCUAGUGUUGGGUGAGGCACCUUCCUGCUGCUUGAGACACACUCGGCUGUGAGCCAGCAGCAGGCAGUUCUCCUAGUACCUGGGGGCCUCAAUCCGAAAGAUGCAGUUUAGCCACACAACCUGUAUUAGUUCAUUUUUUGCAUUGCCAUAAAGGAAUACCUGGAGCUGGGUAAUUUAUAACGAAAAGAGGUUAAUUUUGGCUUAUGAUUCUGCAGACUGUACGAGAAGCAUGGCAUCGGCAUCUGCUUUUGUGAAGCCUCAGGAAGCUCACAAUCAUGGCAGGAGGUGAAGGGGGAGCAAGAGUGUCACAUGGCUCAGCAUUACAGUGGGAAAAGUCAAGUAUUUUAGGCUCACACAGAUUUUUCUCUCAGUGACGUGGCAGUUCAUACUUUCCCUCCAAAUAUGACCUGGUAAAUGACUCUGUGGCAUGUUGACUGCAAAUCUGAACUGAAAUGGAAUCUGUAACCCAUUAUCAGAUCCUGAAUCAAGCUGCCUUGUCCUUCUCCAGUUUUUGUUUCAGUGGAAAUGUGUGUUUUUAUUCUGUCAAUGGACAGUUUACAUACCUAAUAUUAAAAGGGAAUUAUAUAAUGAACACUUGAUGUAAAAGAGACUAGUUAAAUACUUCAACUCCAAAAGUUUCCAUUAAAGUAAUAAGGAAAUUACAUUUAAUUUUAACUGGUAGAAAGUUUUAAAAAAUGUUAUUGCUAUUAAGCAUUUAUUACCCACACUCAACCCUUUUUUUGUGAGUGAAUUCCCAAAGCACAAUUCAUCUUUAUACAGGUAGAAAGGAAAUAUUCUUGCAAAAUAUGUAGUUUGAUGUCAUCUUAACUGUGGAGAGAAGCAUAUUUUUCCAAAGAAUAGAAUGUGAUGGUUGAUUGGAAACUUUUGGAGUUACAGGCUAGCUCUACCUCUUGAAAUAAGAAAAUAUAUAUAAAUAGGUCCCCAGAUGAAGGCGUCGUGGGGUACUUUACAGCCCCAAUUGGCUCCAGACACAGAGGCAGUGAUUUGUAAGCAAGCAAUGACAAGAGGAAGUUAAAUCAAAAUUAAAUUAAGAGAAGGAAGAAAAAGAAGAGCUAUCAAGGAGAGGUGAUGAAUUUCCUGAAAGCUUCUAAAUACCUAUCUGUGGGUAAAUGAUUGAAAAUCUGUGAAUAUAUCUCACUUAUGUCAAAAGAUGAAAUCUGGAAACAUUUCAGUCCUAAAAAAAUACCUUACUUGUUAUCUUUGAAGCCUUUUUUUAUUUUUUCAAUUUUUUUUUUGGAGAUAGAGUCUCACUAUGUUGCCCAGGCUGACCUCAAACUCUUGGGCUCAAGCGUCCUCCUGCCUCAGCCUUCUGAGUAGCUGGGAUUAUGCAUGUACACCACCAUGCCUGGCUUCAGAAGUCUUUUCAAAUAUUCAUUACUUGGUACAGUUCAACCAGUACAAGCAUAUUUGCUUCUAUACUUUCCCGUUGACUCAACUGCGAUAAAAUCAGCAUCUUCCAUGGUGCACAUGAAGUCGUAUAUUGGGAGGAUUGGUUUUCCUGUUUACAUUUUGACGUUUUGUUGUUGUUCCAGCUUGUGUAAAUAAAAAUUUAGGAAUUCGAACUCACCAGAGAGCUCCUCCACCCUGACUGCCAUUUUUGCAGUUACAUCUGUCAUUCUCCCUUUUCCUGUCCUCUAUCCAGUUAAUUACCAAGCCCAAGAAGAUAGACACUGUGUUCCACUCCCCUCACAGCACAGAGCACAGUUCAGUACAUAGUAUUUGGAAAUCAAUUAAGUGAAUAAGCACCUGCACUUUCUCUCCGUCUCAUCCAUUCUGCUGCUACCAUAGGAGUUCAGACUCCUACCAUCUUGUGCCUGAGCUGACACAGUAACGGUGAGCCCUCAGUCCCUCUCCAAGCUAAGCCACUGCACGGAAGAUGUUGCUUUCAUCAUUACUUUGGCUCAGAAGCGCUCAGUACCGCUCAUUCUCCACGCAAAGAUUCUCAGAUAUUUGGUCUUUAUAAAGCUAGCCUACCCACCUCCAGUGUUAAACCCCACACUUCCCCCAUCAUCCCACCAGUUUUCACCAUGCUGCUCUGUUAGCAGUCCCCUCAGCUUCUUGCCUCCUUCCUUGGCUCCUGCUAUUUCUCUUGCCUGGACUGCUUGCUCUCCUUCACUUUCUCAAAUUCCAUUGAUCUUGAAAGGCACAUUCUAGCCUAUACUAGUCUCCUCUUGAAUUGAAAGCAUUUGCUGCCUGUAUUCUUACUAUGGAAAUAUGUAUGGCUUGUGACAUCCCUUGCCUUAUUAUUUUGUGUUUUUAUCUAGUAAUAACAUUGUCACUUAACCUUUCAGCUGCGAUUGUGUUAUCUCUCAAAUGAUAUUGUUUAUUUGUGGGCUUAUAUUGGGCACAGGGGAUGGAAAAGGAGAGAGCAGGACUCUAUUUUCAUGCUUCUUUGUAUUUAGCACAGUGGCUCUUGUACCCAGUAAUACAGCCUUUAGACAGAACAGACACCAUAUCUUCUUGGUCUUUGUAUUCCUAGUGCCUUGCAGAGCAUCUGGCCCAUAGUAGGGAUUCAUACAUGGCAUUUGAAUAAAUGAACAGAAGGCACACCUCAAAUAUUUGUUUAGUAGUUUUACCCCCAAACUAAAUGAAUCAACACAGGUAAUUUUCCAUCUUUUAAAAGCCAUAAAAAUCCAGUUUUCCAUUUAGUUUUUUUCAUCAUUAACAGUUCUCCCUCAAGCACUUCUCCUUUGCCUGCCUUGAGCUUCAUACUGAAAUUUAAAUCAAUUUCCUCUCAUUCUUUUCCCUGUGAAAUUGGAGAACAGCUGUUUAGUCACCUCCUUAUAAAUAACCCUUCAACAAGUUAAAUUGCCUCUAGGAUUUGCUUUCUCCAGAUUAAAUUAUCCCAAAGUCUUUUCUUUUUUCUCAUAAAGGCCUUUUCAAAAAGAAACAUUGGUUACUUUUAAAAUUUCUUUUUCUAGCUCUUUAUAAAACUUUAUUCUUUUCAUAAAUGUACCACAGGAUACCCCUAUGUGGGCCUGACUGAUGCUGUCUGGAAUGGAAAGCUUUCCUUCCACAUCUGGAAUCUCAUUCUUCUAUUUUGUGUUGUACCUUGUUAGCUUCUUUUCUUUUCUUUUCUUUUCUUCGUAUCCUAUCAAAUUUAAUUUGCGGUCCACUCUCACCCUCUCCCUGUUUGUCUCCUUUUUCUGUACAUUUCUUCAAAUGUGUGGCUUGAUUUUCUUCCCAUAAACACUAACUUGCUUUAUCAGAAGUCUUACUAAGGUUAUAAGUUACAGAGAAUCCAACACAAAUUAGCUUAAGUGAUCAAAGGAAUUUAUUGAUUUAUAUCACUGAAAAGUCUAGUGGUAUGACUUAACCUCUGGCAUGGCUGGACUCGGUGAACCAAACAGUGUCACCACAGGCCUGGUUUUUCUUACUCCCUCUGUUCUGCCUUGCACACACAGUGUUGGCGCCUUUAAGGCGCCUCUAACGCCCUUGCUUUGUGGCAGCCACUGAGCUGCAGCACUUGCAGGCCUCACUUUCUCAUAAUGCCCCCUCUGGAGGAAGAGAGAGGCUCUUUGCUUGACUGGGUUUCACUUUCUCUUACUGGCUCAAAUUGAGUGAUAUUCUUAUCCUCAAUCCACUCCUGUUGCCACUAAAAGGAUAUACUGCCUAGCUUGGUCCAUUUAGGACCCAGCUCUGCAUCUGAUGCAGUAUGUUACUUCCACCCAAUACAUUUGGCUGAGAAUCAGGGACGAAUUGUUUCCAAAGGAAAUUUGGGGAGCUGUUCCCAGAAGGAGGGGAGCAAUGCAUGGGGGUGGCCAACAAGAGAUGUACAUUGCAUUCAAAAUUGUGCCCAUUCACUCUGCUUUAGGCAUUAUAAAUACCACUUUGAACUGAAGGUAUCUCUGAGAAUGAAUUAUUUAUUCACUUACUCAUAGUCACUUACUGUUAAGCACCAACUAUAUGCCAGGCAUACAACUAGGUUAGGUAUUAGGUGUACAAACGUGAGUGAGACAAUGUCUGACUUUGAGAAACACAUAAUCUAGGGAAAAAAAUAGACUUAGAGGCACAUAACUAAAGCAUGUUCUAAUAAGUGCUGCUAUCAAAGUGUCUGUGGACACAGGUGGAAGUGAAGAACUCAGUGGGAGGGGUUAAAGGGAGAGGGCAUAACAGGAGAGGUGAGUUUUGAGUUAAGCCUUGAAGGGUAAAAAGAGAUUCCCCUAGAAUGGGAGAGGAAUGGCAUUAUCUCGAAGGCCAUGGUGCACUAGAAAAAGUUUUCAGUAGGGGACUAAUGUGGUUAGGUAUGUAUUUGAGAAAGAUCAUUCUGCUGGCAGUUGGUGGAUUCGGCAGAGGUGAGAAGGACUGGCAGCAAGGAGGAGGACCAGUUGAGCUGUUGCAGUAAUCAAGUCUAGUCAAGAUACAGCAAGGACCUGAACUCAGCUCGUUACUAUAGAGCUAGGGAGUAGACUCGAUAUAUUUGAGAAGAGCUGGGACUUGUUCAAUGUAGGAGAUGUGAAUCAGUGGUUAUAGAUGACUUUGAGGUUUUCAUUGUGAUAGGUAGGUAGUUAAGAUGAGUUCAGGUUUGUAGUUACUUGAGGUGCCUGCUGAACACCCAAGGGACACGUUUCCCAGGCAGUUGUAAAUAUAGAAAUGUACUGGAGGAAAGAUUUCUAAGCCAGGAAUUUAGACUGGAAAAGACAUCAGAAUGUAAAUGGAGAUUGAAGCCUUGAGGAAAGAGUGGGAUCACCCAAGGGGAAUUUCAAGUCAGAAGAAAAGAGGGCCUCAGAGUAGUCCCUGGGAAAAGACUACAUUUGAGAAGCCAGCAGAGAAUAAGAAGUCUGAGGAGGCAGCUAUGGAGAACGUAGGCCUGUGGAUCCCUCCAAGUAAUAAGCUUGUUUUUACUUGGAUUAGAGGUAAUGUCACCUGGAAUGAUUUGUGCCAUGAUGGUUAAGAGCAUGGACUCUGGGCUCUACCACCUCCUGCAACUGAUCUGUGGAUAAAAUAUUUAACCUCAUUUCCUCAUCUAUGUAAUGGGAAUAAAGUAGUACCUAAUUUUGGAGAAUUAAUUUGAGUAAAGCACCUUGAAAGUGCUUAGCACAUAAGAAGUGCUAUAGAAUGUUUGAUAAA